This 785-nucleotide ribosomal RNA is filed under the name Vibrio harveyi. Its description in RNAcentral is "bacterial SSU rRNA". It matches the Rfam family "Bacterial small subunit ribosomal RNA", at positions 262 to 1039 of the family's 1533-position model. Lineage: Bacteria; Pseudomonadati; Pseudomonadota; Gammaproteobacteria; Vibrionales; Vibrionaceae. The record is from RNAcentral.
GGCUCACCAAGGCGACGAUCCCUAGCUGGUCUGAGAGGAUGAUCAGCCACACUGGAACUGAGACACGGUCCAGACUCCUACGGGAGGCAGCAGUGGGGAAUAUUGCACAAUGGGCGCAAGCCUGAUGCAGCCAUGCCGCGUGUGUGAAGAAGGCCUUCGGGUUGUAAAGCACUUUCAGUCGUGAGGAAGGUAGUGUAGUUAAUAGCUGCAUUAUUUGACGUUAGCGACAGAAGAAGCACCGGCUAACUCCGUGCCAGCAGCCGCGGUAAUACGGAGGGUGCGAGCGUUAAUCGGAAUUACUGGGCGUAAAGCGCAUGCAGGUGGUUUGUUAAGUCAGAUGUGAAAGCCCGGGGCUCAACCUCGGAAUAGCAUUUGAAACUGGCAGACUAGAGUACUGUAGAGGGGGGUAGAAUUUCAGGUGUAGCGGUGAAAUGCGUAGAGAUCUGAAGGAAUACCGGUGGCGAAGGCGGCCCCCUGGACAGAUACUGACACUCAGAUGCGAAAGCGUGGGGAGCAAACAGGAUUAGAUACCCUGGUAGUCCACGCCGUAAACGAUGUCUACUUGGAGGUUGUGGCCUUGAGCCGUGGCUUUCGGAGCUAACGCGUUAAGUAGACCGCCUGGGGAGUACGGUCGCAAGAUUAAAACUCAAAUGAAUUGACGGGGGCCCGCACAAGCGGUGGAGCAUGUGGUUUAAUUCGAUGCAACGCGAAGAACCUUACCUACUCUUGACAUCCAGAGAACUUUCCAGAGAUGGAUUGGUGCCUUCGGGAACUCUGAGACAGGU